ACACUGAAAAUAAAUUUCCAACGUCUAACACACAUCGUUUACGGCAUGGACUACGAGGGUAUCUAAUCCUCUUCGCUACCCAUGCUUUCGUUCCUCAGUGUCAGUAAUGAUCCAGAAAGCUGCCUUCGCAAUUGGUAUUCUUUCUAAUAUCUACGAAUUUCACCUCUACACUAGAAAUUCUGCUUUCCUCUAUCAUACUCUAGCUGAAAAGUUUUGAUGGCAGUUCCAGAGUUAAGCUCUGGGAUUUCACCACCAACUUUUUCAACCACCUACGAACUCUUUAAGCCCAGUAAUUCCGAACUACGCUAGGUCCCUUCGUAUUACCGCGGCUGCUGGCACGAAGUUAGCCGGACCUUCUUAUUCGGGUACAGUCAUUUUCUUCCCCGACGAAAGAGCUUUACAACCCAAAGGCCUUCUUCACUCACGCGGCAUCGCUGCAUCAGAGUUUCCUCCAUUGUGCAAGAUUCCCCACUGCUGCCUCCCGUAGGAGUUUGGGCCGUGUCUCAGUCCCAAUGUGGCUGAUCAUCCUCUCAAAUCAGCUAUUGAUCAUAGUCUUGGUAGGCCAUUACCCUACCAACAAACUAAUCGAGUGCGGGCUCAUCCAAUGGUGCAUAAAGCUUUCUCCGUAAAGACUUAUCCGGUAUUAGCACAAGUUUCCUCGUGUUAUUCCAGGCCAAAGGGUAGAUACCCACAUGUUACUCACCCGUCUGCCACUAAGUAUUGCUACUUCGUUCGACUUGCAUGUGUUAGGCGUGCCGCCAGCGUACGUUCUGAGCCAGGAUCAAACUCU
RNAcentral lists this ribosomal RNA (790 nucleotides) under uncultured bacterium. Its description in RNAcentral is "partial 16S ribosomal RNA". The record is from RNAcentral.